Molecule: long non-coding RNA, 1174 nt
Organism: Brassica oleracea var. oleracea
Lineage: Eukaryota; Viridiplantae; Streptophyta; Magnoliopsida; Brassicales; Brassicaceae
Exons: 4
Source: RefSeq, a predicted model, not a curated record
UCUCCACAUCCCCUCGACUAUAAAUAUCUAUGAUAUCCUCUUCUUUUCUGGCAUCGUUUGCUUUCCUUAUACAAGAGGUUUCAUCAACACCUUCCCGAAAUCGUGAUUUAGAGUUCGUCAAUAUUUUUCCCGACCAAGGAAUCUUACACUCUCUGCAAGGAGGAGAAAGCUAAGAAAUUCAAGGGCAAGAUCGUCAAGCCUCAUGCCAUGUUCUUCUUUCUUCCAAUUGUCUUAGCUCCUUGAUUACCGAUCUAGAGUUGGGUAGAUCUCUCUUUCUUGAUUUUUUUUUUUUGUUAUAGUUAUAUGACGUUGAUGUGUUUGUUUAACAGAUAAUUCUUGAUUUAUAUUACUCCUUGAUUUUUUUGCCGAGCUGAUUAUGAUGAACUCAAGGACUCAUACUGAAAGGAGACGCGGAUACAUACAAUCCCUUAUCGAAACUCUAUACUGCUUAUACUGUCAGACUGUUUUGCAAUUGACAUGAUUCAAUUAUUCAAAAGGUUUGCACUGCUGCUCGAUGCUCAGAAGUCAGAACAAAUGGAAUUGCAUACGAGUUUAUUAGGUACAAAUUAAUUAAAGAGGUUGGUGAUGGAACAUUGGUCCUGUUUUGCUUAGCUACCAAUAAGCACACAUGUGAAGUUGUUGCAAUUACAAAAUGAAAAAGAACUACUACUCAUGGGACAAAUGUAUUAACCUGAGAUAAGUGAAGUCAAUGAUUCCUGGAGAAAUUUUUGUGAUGGCAAGAUUGAUAUAAGACUGAUCCAGAGAAUGAUUGUUCAUGUUGAAGAAAUAAAAACGGCUGAGGAAAAAGAUGCUGAAGGAAGAGAGCAAACAAAAUAUUGAAACAAAACUUAAUUAGAAACAUGGAAGAGAAGAGAAUAAGAGAAGAUAAACGACCGGCGGCGAUUUUAAAUCUCUGGUUUCGUUCGGUGGCCGGUCUAACGAUGUCACGCAAAUGAGAAAAUGGAGAUUGUGUUCUGCAUCUUUGGCUGUGUUUAGUAUGAGGAUUCAAGAAGAAGAAUGGUGAAGGAGUGGAAGAAAAGCUGACAUGACCAUAGUGUUUCUUCCGACGAUGACACCAUGUCUUCUCAAGAUCCUAAACCCAAGAAGAUCGACCAACUCUGGCCAGAAAUAAUGUUUACCUUUUCUUUGAACUUUAAUGAAAAAUUUCCUUACA